UAAUACCCCGUGAAACUGACGGUACCUGCAGAAUAAGCACCGGCUAACUACGUGCCAGCAGCCGCGGUAAUACGUAGGGUGCAAGCGUUAAUCGGAAUUACUGGGCGUAAAGCGUGCGCAGGCGGUUCGGAAAGAAAGAUGUGAAAUCCCAGAGCUUAACUUUGGAACUGCAUUUUUAACUACCGAGCUAGAGUGUGUCAGAGGGAGGUGGAAUUCCGCGUGUAGCAGUGAAAUGCGUAGAUAUGCGGAGGAACACCGAUGGCGAAGGCAGCCUCCUGGGAUAACACUGACGCUCAUGCACGAAAGCGUGGGGAGCAAACAGGAUUAGAUACCCUGGUAGUCCACGCCCUAAACGAUGUCAACUAGCUGUUGGGGCCUUCGGGCCUUAGUAGCGCAGCUAACGCAUGAAGUUGACCGCCUGAUGAGUACGGUCGCAAGAUUAAAACUCAAAGGAAUUGACAGGGAGUCGCACAAUUAUUGGAUG
Molecule: ribosomal RNA, 484 nt
Filed under: Alcaligenes sp. WMB22
Lineage: Bacteria; Pseudomonadati; Pseudomonadota; Betaproteobacteria; Burkholderiales; Alcaligenaceae
Description: bacterial SSU rRNA
Rfam family: Bacterial small subunit ribosomal RNA
Source: RNAcentral